CCUUCCGUAAGGGGAACCUGCGGAAGGAUCAUUAACUAGUAUUGAAGUCCACGGGGAUCAGGCUUUCCGAAAGGAGGGUGGGGGGAUGUUUGGUUCCCCCUGCUUGGGUAGACUGGAGAGCAUGGUGUAGCUAUCGUAAUGGUAGCUAGAUUAUGUUUGGCCUCUGCUGAUCGAGCUUGUCACCUGAAUUCUACUACCCUUGCUUUUUGCGCACCCAUUGUUUCCUCGGCAGGCUUGCCUGCCAGUAGGACCCUUUAAAACCCUUUGUAAUUGCAAUCAGCGUCAGAAACAACGUAAUCGUUACAACUUUCAACAACGGAUCUCUUGGUUCUGGCAUCGAUGAAGAACGCAGCGAAAUGCGAUAAGUAGUGUGAAUUGCAGAAUUCAGUGAAUCAUCGAAUCUUUGAACGCACAUUGCGCCCCUUGGUAUUCCAUGGGGCAUGCCUGUUCGAGCGUCAUUUGUACCCUCCAGCCCUGCUGGGUGUUGGGCGUUUUGUUCCGCUACGCGCGUGAACUCGCCUCAAAUGCAUUGGCAGCCCGCCGUCCCGUGUGGGAGCGCAGCACAUUUUGCGCUCUCCGCUGCUGACGGUGGCAUCCACAAGUCUACCAUUUUACGCUUGACCUCGGAUCAGGUAGGGAUACCCGCUGAACUUAAGCAUAUCAAUAAGCGGGAGGAA
RNAcentral lists this ribosomal RNA (677 nucleotides) under Entrophospora sp. shylm17. RNAcentral's name for it is "eukaryotic LSU rRNA". The stretch from base 305 to 458 matches the Rfam family "5.8S ribosomal RNA". The record is from RNAcentral. Lineage: Eukaryota; Fungi; Glomeromycota; Glomeromycetes; Entrophosporales; Entrophosporaceae.